GGUUGGGUUGUAACUGUAGAAGUCAGUCCCUGUCCUGGUCAGGUUGGGUUGUAGCUGUAGAAGUCAGUCCCUGUUGGGUUGGGUUGUAACUGUAGAAGUCAGUCCCUGUCUGGUUGUAACUGUAGAAGUCAGUCCCUGUCUGGUUGGGUUGUAACUGUAAAAGUCAGUCCCGGUCAGGUUGGGUUGUAACUGUAGAAGUCAGUCCCUGUCUGGUUGGGUUGUAACUGUAGAAGUCAGUCCCUGUCUGGUUGGGUUGUAACUGUAGAAGUCAGUCCAUGUCUGGUUGGGUUGUAACUGUAGAAGUCAGUCCCUGUCUGGUUGGGUUGUAACUGUAGAAGUCAGUCCCUGUCCUGGUUGGGUUGUAACUGUAGAAGUCAGUCCCUGUUGGGUUGUAACUGUAGAAGUCAGUCCCUGUCAGGUUGGGUUGUAACUGUAGAAGUCAGUCCCUGUCUGGUUGGGUUGUAGCUGUAGAAGUCAGUCCUGGUUGGGUUGUAACUGUAGAAGUCAGUCCCUGUCUGGUUGUAACUGUAGAAGUCAGUCCCUGUUGGGUUGUAGCUGUAGAAGUCAGUCCCUGUCUGGUUGGGUUGUAACUGUAGAAGUCAGUCCCUGUCUGGUUGGGUUGUAACUGUAGAAGUCAGUCCCUGUCUGGUUGGGUUGUAACUGUAGAAGUCAGUCCCUGUCUGGUUGGGUUGUAACUGUAGAAGUCAGUCCCUGUCCUGGUCAGGUUGGGUUGUAGCUGUAGAAGUCAGUCCUGGUUGGGUUGUAACUGUAGAAGUCAGUCCCUGUCCUGGUCAGGUUGGGUUGUAGCUGUAGAAGUCAGUCCAGGUUGGGUUGUAGCUGUAGAAGUCAGUCCCUGUUGGGUUGGGUUGUAACUGUAGAAGUCAGUCCCUGUCUGGUUGUAACUGUAGAAGUCAGUCCCUGUCAGGUUGGGUUGUAACUGUAGAAGUCAGUCCCUGUCUGGUUGGGUUGUAACUGUAAAAGUCAGUCCUGGUCAGGUUGGGUUGUAACUGUAGAAGUCAGUCCCUGUCUGGUUGGGUUGUAACUGUAGAAGUCAGUCCCUGUCUGGUUGGGUUGUAACUGUAGAAGUCAGUCCAUGUCUGGUUGGGUUGUAACUGUAGAAGUCAGUCCCUGUCUGGUUGGGUUGUAACUGUAGAAGUCAGUCCCUGUCCUGGUUGGGUUGUAACUGUAGAAGUCAGUCCCUGUUGGGUUGUAACUGUAGAAGUCAGUCCCUGUCAGGUUGGGUUGUAACUGUAGAAGUCAGUCCCUGUCUGGUUGGGUUGUAGCUGUAGAAGUCAGUCCCUGUCAGGUUGUAACUGUAGAAGUCAGUCCCUGUCAGGUUGUAACUGUAGAAGUCAGUCCCUGUCAGGUUGUAACUGUAGAAGUCAGUCCCUGUCAGGUUGGGUUGUAACUGUAGAAGUCAGUCCCUGUCUGGUUGGGUUGUAGCUGUAGAAGUCAGUCCUGGUUGGGUUGUAACUGUAGAAGUCAGUCCCUGUCUGGUUGUAACUGUAGAAGUCAGUCCCUGUCAGGUUGUAACUGUAGAAGUCAGUCCCUGUCAGGUUGUAACUGUAGAAGUCAGUCCCUGUUGGGUUGUAACUGUAGAAGUCAGUCCCUGUCAGGUUGUAACUGUAGAAGUCAGUCCCUGUCUGGUUGGGUUGUAACUGUAGAAGUCAGUCCCUGUCUGGUUGGGUUGUAACUGUAGAAGUCAGUCCCUGUCUGGUUGGGUUGUAGCUGUAGAAGUCAGUCCCUGUCUGGUUGGGUUGUAGCUGUAGAAGUCAGUCCCUGUCUGGUUGGGUUGUAACUGUAGAAGUCAGUCCCUGUCUGGUUGGGUUGUAACUGUAGAAGUCAGUCCCUGUUGGGUUGUAACUGUAGAAGUCAGUCCCUGUUGGGUUGUAACUGUAGAAGUCAGUCCCUGUUGGGUUGUAACUGUAGAAGUCAGUCCCUGUCAGGUUGUAACUGUAGAAGUCAGUCCCUGUCUGGUUGGGUUGUAACUGUAGAAGUCAGUCCCUGUCAGGUUGGGUUGUAGCUGUAGAAGUCAGUCCCUGUCUGGUUGGGUUGUAACUGUAGAAGCCAGUCCUGGUCAGGUUGGGUUGUAACUGUAGAAGUCAGUCCCUGUCAGGUUGGGUUGUAGCUGUAGAAGUCAGUCCCUGUCUGGUUGAGAUGUAGCUGUAGAAGUCAGUCCCUGUCUGGUUGGGUUGUAACUGUAGAAGUCAGUCCCUGUCUGGUUGGGUUGUAACUGUAGAAGUCAGUCCCUGUCUGGUUGGGUUGUAACUGUAGAAGUCAGUCCCUGUCCUGGUCAGGUUGGGAGGGGUGUCAGUGCUGUUACUCUGAAGGUAUUGCACUUGUCCCGGCCUGUUUAGGAUUGAGGAGAUGGUGCUCCUACUCUUUGAACCUGCUAAAGCAGUAACUGCUUGAUGCAUGUUUGAAAUGAAUGAAUGAAACCUAUAUUUACCAAAAAUGAGACUUGUAUGUUUUCUGUCUCAUGAUUCUGUUUUUUUUCUAGAUUAUUUUUUAAUGAAUGAAGAGGUAAUUUUCUAAAUUGUAGAUUGAUUGUCAGAGCUUAAAUGUGUCCGUCCAUAUGGUGAGGAAUUGUUUCAUGCUGUGGUUUUGUCUCAAAUAAAGUUUCCAUGUAAAUUA
This is a long non-coding RNA of Oncorhynchus nerka (sockeye salmon), 2634 nucleotides long. RefSeq lists it as uncharacterized. The transcript has 2 exons. The record is from RefSeq and is a predicted model, not a curated record. NCBI's taxonomy places the organism in Eukaryota, Metazoa, Chordata, Actinopteri, Salmoniformes, Salmonidae.